This 523-nucleotide ribosomal RNA is filed under the name uncultured bacterium. RNAcentral's name for it is "bacterial SSU rRNA". It matches the Rfam family "Bacterial small subunit ribosomal RNA", at positions 355 to 896 of the family's 1533-position model. The record is from RNAcentral.
GGGGGAAUCUUGCACAAUGGAGGAAACUCUGAUGCAGCGACGCCGCGUGGACGACGAAGCCCUUCGGGGUGUAAAGUCCUUUCGACCGGAACGAUAAUGACGGUACCGGUGGAAGAAGCUGCGGCUAACUACGUGCCAGCAGCCGCGGUAAUACGUAGGCAGCGAGCGUUGUUCGGAAUUAUUGGGCGUAAAGAGUAUGUAGGUGGUGUCGUAAGUUUGGUGUGAAAUCUCCUGGCUUAACUGGGAGGGUGCGCCGAAGACUGCGAUGCUGGAGUAUGGGAGAGGGAAUCGGAAUUCCUGGUGUAGCGGUGAAAUGCGUAGAUAUCAGGAGGAACACCUGUGGUGUAGACGGGUUCCUGGACCAUUACUGACACUGAGAUACGAAAGCGUGGGUAGCAAACAGGAUUAGAUACCCUGGUAGUCCACGCCCUAAACGAUGCACACUUGGUGUGAGCCAUUCAGUUGGUUUGUGCCGGAGCUAACGCGUUAAGUGUGCCGCCUGGGGAGUACGGUCGCAAGGCUG